GUUCCUUCGGGGACAUCCAAUAAAACUGGAACACGAUACAGAAAAGAUUAGCAUGGCCCCUGCGGAAGGAUGAUCGAGAAAAUGCUGUAUAAAAUAAAAAACAUGU
This is a small nuclear RNA of Papaver somniferum (opium poppy), 106 nucleotides long. The record is from RefSeq and is a predicted model, not a curated record. Lineage: Eukaryota; Viridiplantae; Streptophyta; Magnoliopsida; Ranunculales; Papaveraceae.